UCGAAUCCUACUUGGGGAG
Molecule: transfer RNA, 19 nt
Filed under: Astrocaryum scopatum
Lineage: Eukaryota; Viridiplantae; Streptophyta; Magnoliopsida; Arecales; Arecaceae
Description: partial tRNA-Asn
Source: RNAcentral